RNAcentral lists this ribosomal RNA (382 nucleotides) under uncultured marine Chaetocerotaceae. RNAcentral's name for it is "SSU rRNA". It matches the Rfam family "Eukaryotic small subunit ribosomal RNA", at positions 587 to 972 of the family's 1831-position model. Lineage: Eukaryota; Bacillariophyta; Thalassiosirophyceae; Chaetocerotales; Chaetocerotaceae. The record is from RNAcentral.
AGCUUCAGUAGCGUAUAUUAAAGUUGUUGCAGUUAAAAAGCUCGUAGUCGCAUUUCUGGCGAGAGGAUCCGGUCCGACCUUUUGGUGGGUUCUUGGGUCUCUUUCGCCAUCCUUGAGUGGUCCGUUCUGGCAUUAGGUUGUCGGAGCGUCAGCCGCUCAUCGUUUACUGUGAGAAAAUUAGAGUGUUCAAAGCAGGCUUAUGCCGUUGAAUAUAUUAGCAUGGAAUAAUAAGAUAGGACCUCGGUACUAUUUGGUUGGUUUGCGCACCAAGGUAAUGAUGAACAGGGACAGUUGGGGGUAUUUGUAUUUCGUUGUCAGAGGUGAAAUUCUUAGAUUUACGAAAGACAAACUACUGCGAAAGCAUUUACCAAGGAUGUUUGCA